AUGGGAUGCACCUUAUCAGGAUGCAGAUCUAGAUCACAAGUAAGCAGUGAUGCACGAGACAGCUCUAUCUCUUUUCACAAGUACAGAUGGCCAUCAAAGAUUAGCAAAGCUAUACCAAAAAUAGGUUCACGUAAGAAAGUGCCUAUUACUUUGCGUAGGAAUGCCCGUUUUAGUUUACGAAAGAGUGCACGUAGAAUAACAAAAGGGGUUAUUCAUGUGAAAGCCAGUUUCAACAAUACCGAAAUCAUAACAUUAACAUUUCUAUAUUCGAAUUUGAGAUAUAUAUACCAGACCUGA
RNAcentral lists this ribosomal RNA (297 nucleotides) under Triticum aestivum (bread wheat). RNAcentral describes it as "partial small subunit ribosomal RNA". The record is from RNAcentral. Lineage: Eukaryota; Viridiplantae; Streptophyta; Magnoliopsida; Poales; Poaceae.